GUAACACGUAGGUAACCUGCCUUUAGUUGGGAUACCCGAGAGGAAACUUUGGACUAAUACCGGAUAUGAAUUUUGGAGGCAGUCUCCGGAAAUUUGAAAGGAGCGUUUGCUCCGCUUUAAGAUGGACCUGCGGCGCAUUAGCUAGUUGGUGAGAUAACAGCCACCAAGGCGAGGAUGCGUAUCCGAUCUGAGAGGAUGACCGGACACAUUGGAACUGAGACACGGUCCAAACUCCUACGGGAGGCAGGCAGUAAGGAGUUUUCGGCAAUGGGGGAAACCCUGACCGAGCAACGCCGCGUGAGCGAAUGACGGCCCUAUGGGUUGUAAAGCUCUGUUGUAAGGGACGAAUGGUGGAGUCAGGAAAUGGGCUCCAUUUGACGGUACCUUACCAGAAAGCCACGGCUAACUACGUGCCAGCCGCCGC
Molecule: ribosomal RNA, 424 nt
Filed under: uncultured bacterium
Lineage: Bacteria
Description: bacterial SSU rRNA
Rfam family: Bacterial small subunit ribosomal RNA
Source: RNAcentral